AAAAAUAGGAAAGUGGCGGUGACACUGCGUAAUUCUCUUGAAGUUUACAAGGGUAACACAUCAUUUGUAAUCCAUAAUCUCAUUUUAGCUGGGGUAGAGCAGAUUAUGAGAUUAUAAUAUAUUAUAAAAUCUACAAUAUAAACUGUCCUGUUUGGAAAUACAAUAGAUUAUAAAAACCAGAUUAUAUAAUCUGGGUGGUUCCAAACAGGACCUAAAGAGAAGGUAAGUUUGAGCAAAAGCCCAUUCAAACCUGCAACAUUUAUGUUAAACCUUGUUAGUUUGAUGUAAGCCCAUUAGUUUGAUGUAACAAGUAUAUAUUUCUGUCUUGGCAUGUACUUUAUAUUAAAUUAAGAUGAAUGAGCAGCAACCACUCUUCGUCUUGAGUACAAGAAUGGAAUCAUUUCUUCUGAAGGAAAUACAAAAAAAUGGUGUGCACGAGCUUACUUGAGAACAACAUCUCUCGUAUCAUCUUCACUGAGAAUAGUCAUCUAUUGAGCUUC
This 500-nucleotide long non-coding RNA is filed under the name Hordeum vulgare. Its description in RNAcentral is "long non-coding RNA (HVUL_LNC018087)". Lineage: Eukaryota; Viridiplantae; Streptophyta; Magnoliopsida; Poales; Poaceae. The record is from RNAcentral.